This 371-nucleotide ribosomal RNA is filed under the name uncultured bacterium. RNAcentral describes it as "bacterial SSU rRNA". It matches the Rfam family "Bacterial small subunit ribosomal RNA", at positions 527 to 896 of the family's 1533-position model. The record is from RNAcentral.
GUGGGGUGCGAGCGUUAAUCGGAAUUACUGGGCGUAAAGCGUGCGCAGGCUGUUUUGUAAGUCAGAUGUGAAAUCCCCGAGCUCAACUUGGGAACUGCGUUUGAAACUACAAGACUAGAAUAGGUCAGAGGGGGGUAGAAUUCCACGUGUAGCAGUGAAAUGCGUAGAGAUGUGGAGGAAUAUCAAUGGCGAAGGCAGCCCCCUGGGAUCAUAUUGACGCUCAUGCACGAAAGCGUGGGGAGCAAACAGGAUUAGAUACCCUGGUAGUCCACGCCCUAAACGAUGUCAACUAGUUGUUGGUAGAGUAAAAUCUAUGAGUAACGCAGCUAACGCGUGAAGUUGACCGCCUGGGGAGUACGAUCGCAAGAUUA